This 234-nucleotide long non-coding RNA is filed under the name Lathyrus oleraceus (garden pea). RNAcentral describes it as "Pisum sativum (pea) long non-coding RNA (PSAT_LNC001011)". The record is from RNAcentral. Lineage: Eukaryota; Viridiplantae; Streptophyta; Magnoliopsida; Fabales; Fabaceae.
UGGAAGAUGAUAUGCAAUGCAUGUUUAUGAUAUGCAAAUGCAUGAAAUUUUGCCAUGUUUUUUUUUGCAAAGGAAUACAAAUACUCAAGAUCAAUCGUGCGUCGUGUAUAUCAGGAUAGUAAGAGGAAGUAAUAUGUUUCUUUGAUUACUGAAAUUCCCAAGGGUAGGCUCUAAAGUUAAUAGGUUCCCAGAGUCAUCGAUUCUCAUCGAGAGCGUCACUGCCGUGACGAAGAC